AAUCAAAUGUUUAUGAGAGAUACGAAUGGAAGCCAGUGAGAUGCUGGCACGGUCCCGCCACUGUGAUAAAGCGUUCGAGCUUUUAAGUCAGGUCUUUUCUUAUUUUUCAUUAUUGGGCAAACUGUUUCGAGGCAAAACAGGGUGUUGCUA
This 150-nucleotide small RNA is filed under the name Enterococcus mundtii. Lineage: Bacteria; Bacillati; Bacillota; Bacilli; Lactobacillales; Enterococcaceae. The record is from RNAcentral.